GCUAAGAGGGAGAACUGGCUUUUUAUCAAAGGGCUGCCACAGAAAACAAGAAACAUGAGCACGGCAUUAGGGAAGUGAAGCCUGUGGGUAAUUUGUGGUGGAAAGGGGUUGGAAGAGAAAGGACUGUUUGAUGGGGUGCCUACUGUAUUGAGCUCCAGGCAGCAAAGGUAUUACGAAAGCCAUCAAGUUGGAGGACCGGGAAAGGAAAGUGGAUCUGGGCAGCUUUCCCAGAGGAGCAAGUAUUUCACCUGUGGCAUAGCUGAUACCUCUUGCUACAUGGCAAGAGCCCCCGCGGAACUGCUGUGGCUUGCAAAUGAAUCUCCUCCGGGACGAGGAGGGGGAACCAGAAGAUACCUUGCAUGCUGAAGCUCUGCUCGUUCUAUGACUUGGGUGCUCUUUCUGAAAAACCAGGUUGGCCUUCUCAGUCUAUGAAGAAAAGGAGGGUGGCAAAAGUACCCUGCACAGACAAAGCUGCUGAAUGAAGGAAGAGAUGAUAACGCCCUCUUUGGCACCCAGCUCUUUCUGGGAGGUACAUUCUCACCCGGUUGGAAGGGAAUGAAGACUGUCUCAUCUGUCAGACCUCUGGACAUAGCCCUGUGGCACAAAGACAUGUGUCUUUAGGCAAAAUUAGGCAGCAUGUGAAUUUGAUUUCUGUUCCUAGUAUAAAGGGGCUGUGACUAAUUUUA
Molecule: long non-coding RNA, 686 nt
Organism: Callithrix jacchus (white-tufted-ear marmoset)
Lineage: Eukaryota; Metazoa; Chordata; Mammalia; Primates; Cebidae
Source: RefSeq, a predicted model, not a curated record